RNAcentral lists this ribosomal RNA (505 nucleotides) under uncultured bacterium. Its description in RNAcentral is "partial 16S ribosomal RNA". It matches the Rfam family "Bacterial small subunit ribosomal RNA", at positions 28 to 507 of the family's 1533-position model. The record is from RNAcentral.
GACGAACGCUGGCGGCGUGCCUAAUACAUGCAAGUCGAACGCACAGUUUAUACCGUAGCUUGCUACACCAUAGACUGUGAGUUGCGAACGGGUGAGUAACGCGUAGGUAACCUGCCUGGUAGCGGGGGAUAACUAUUGGAAACGAUAGCUAAUACCGCAUAAUAUUGAUUAUUGCAUGAUAAUUAAUUGAAAGGUGCAAUUGCACCACUACCAGAUGGACCUGCGUUGUAUUAGCUAGUAGGUGAGGUAACGGCUCACCUAGGCGACGAUACAUAGCCGACCUUGGAGGGGGAUCGGCCACACUGGGACUGAGACACGGCCCAGACUCCUACGGGAGGCAGCAGGAGGGAAACUUCGGCAAUGGACGAAAGUCUGACCGAGCAACGCCGCGUUGGUGAAGAAGGUUUUCGGAUCGUAAAGCUCUGUUGUAAGAGAAGAACGGGUUUGGGAGUGGAAAGUUCACACUGUGACGGUAUCUUACCAGAAAGGGACGGCUAACUACGUG